ACGGGGGUUGCAAGCGUUGUCCGGAAUUACUAGGCGUAAAGGGCAGGUAGGCGGAUCCAUAAGUUUUUUGUUAAAGGCGACGGCUUACCCGUUGUAAGGCAGGAGAUACUGUGGAUCUGGAAUGCGGUUGGGGAAGACAGAAUUCCUGGUGUAGAGGUGAAAGACCAUAAUUUCAGGAGGAAUACCGAAAGUGAAGGCAGCCAACUGGACCGACAUUGACGCUAGGCUGCGAAGGUGAGGGUCUCUAACCG
This 251-nucleotide ribosomal RNA is filed under the name uncultured prokaryote. RNAcentral's name for it is "partial 16S rRNA". It matches the Rfam family "Bacterial small subunit ribosomal RNA", at positions 525 to 775 of the family's 1533-position model. The record is from RNAcentral.